GUUAGUAUGCUGUGCUUUAUUAAUGCAACCGUUUAGACAGAAAUGUGAAAGGUUACCGGUAUUCCCACUUGAUCACGCUCGAAAUUUUAGCUUCUUAAAUACUGAUUUCUGUGUGGCAUCUCCCUUGCAUAUUUGGGGACAGCUUUAGAUCUGCAACAUGAUACAUACAAUCAAUGUUCCGUCUGGUUUACGCUCCGCCCUGAUUGAUCCGUAUAAAUUGAAGAGCAUGAUCCGGCCGGCGCGCACCGGCAACACCGACCCUCCUCACAGGGGAUAACAAGCCAUAUCGUCCCACGUCAAUCCCAGAAGCAGCAACUGCGUUGUCAACAGGGCAGGCGGGGUGAGAGGAAGGACUGCCUGUUUGGUCUCCGGACACUAGCUGAAGAACAGACUACAUUCAGCGUAAGAAUACAAGAACAUACCCAUUGUAAAAUGAAGGCGAACAAACAAGUUUCUUCUGCCGGGGUGAAGCAGAACGGAGACAUGCAGAGGAGGCCGAGUUAUCCUGGCGACCAGCGGGUUAAACAUGCCAACAUUGCCACCAAGAUUUGGGUUAAAGUGGCGAUGGCUAUUGCCUAUUUCCUAAGCAUAUCCGUAUCAGCGUUCAUCCUUGUAAUCUACUAUGUGUUUUUCUGGACACCGGAUGCGCCUUACAAUGUCACGGGCACAGCAGCACCGAACCGCACAGUGUGCAACUCAAGGUUAUAACUGAGUGUGUUCAUCAGGCGCGAGGUUAUGAGUUCCCAUCCUUUAUCCCGCACGCACAGUUUCGAGAUGCGCUCGAGGACUCCUGGACAUAGGGCAUGCACGCGCUGCAUCAGUGCACCUACUUAUACCGCAGCAAAGGGGAAGAUUACAGCUUCACACACUCAAGCCAGCGGUACGUUUUAUUCGGGAUGACCUGAGGACCGAGGAAUGCAUUGGAAUCUCUACAGUUGCUGUUAUAUUCAGGUUUUAUCUGUAGUAAUUGUAAAAGCUAGUAGCCACGUAACUUGUUUUUGGCAGUUGUUCGUUUGAAUGCGGGGCAAUAUGCCAAGUAGCAGUAGCCUGUUCUUGUUAGAAAAGCACGAUCUGCAAUACUUCUGAUCAGAAACGGAAUGAAACCCAUCGAAUGAAAAUCAUCUGACUGAGAUCUACAUGGAGAGACCGCUGUGUUCUAUCAGAAAAAGCAAAAAUACCGAACCUCCGGUCAGGUCGUUGGUGCCUCAUUCUAUGAUGUCAUCCAAUGUACCGUUUAAUGCUUGGAGGCAAACUGCAAAGUAGCAUAUUUCACUUCUGAGAGUCCCCAUUUUCAAACCCUCUAAAAAUCCAUCAGUGUUUAUCUCAGCGCCUGUAGACUUCUACCCGACAGUUGAUAAUAUUUACAGUUUUUAUAUACCGUGUAGACAAAUAUACGUAGAUUUCCUCCUGGAGAUAGUCUGAAAAACUAUGCAUAUACAUGAGUUAUCAUUUUCUGCACACAAUGCUAUUUUUCUGACGUGAACAGCAGCACUUUAUUUUAGGAGCCAACAUAUUCUGAUCUGUUUCUUAGUGUUUUAUGAUGAAUGGGAUCUAAAACGUUUCAUCAGUGGACCUUUUCGACGUUUGGACGUUUUAACUGUAUUAUCGUCGUCUGUAAGCCCUGUUUUACAGCCAAAAUGCGUCUGUCCAUAUGGACUGUAUGUCCUGCCGCGUGUGUGUGUGUGAUCUUCUGGGUUAACUGAACCUCAUGUCCAUCGUUUUCCUGGUUUCUUGUGCUGUUGUGCCAUUUCCUGUCCAGGUCUUAAACACUCUGCGGUCACUUGUUAAGACAACGUACAUGAAUACUGUCACCGUGUAUCUAUAAGUCACUGCUGAGACUGAAAUACACCAAUAGGUGUUGUAAGGAUUCAAAUGUAUGGGCCAUCUCAUCCCAUGUAUAUGUCUCUUUGUUUCUCCCUCUUUCCAACUGUCUUUCUCUCUCUUCUCUCCCACUCUUUCUCUCUCUAACUCCCUCCUUCUCCCUCUUUUUGUUUAUCCUACUCUUUCUCCAACUUCUCUCUCACUUUCUCUCUCCCUAUCUCUUUCUUCUACUCUCUAUCUCUUAACUCCCCAUCUCUCUAUUUCCUCUCAUUCUCUCUCUAACUCCCUCUGCCUCUCUCUCUCUCUCUCUCUCUCUCUCUCUCUCUCUCUCUCUCUCUCUCUCUCUCUCUCUCUCUCUCUCUCUCUCUCUCUCUCUCUCUCUCCUCUCUCCCUCUCUCUCCCUCAGUCUCUGCAUUAUGUGUGAAGCAAACGAGAGCUGCUUCUCUUCUAUCAAUAAUUAAAUUGCACUGAAAGUU
Molecule: long non-coding RNA, 2297 nt
Organism: Osmerus eperlanus (European smelt)
Lineage: Eukaryota; Metazoa; Chordata; Actinopteri; Osmeriformes; Osmeridae
Exons: 2
Source: RefSeq, a predicted model, not a curated record